ACUCUCAUUUUGAUAAGUGAUAACCCACUAACCCUAGACUUCUAUUCUUCUCUUGUGUAAACACAGUAGCCACCGCACUCACAGUCGAUUCACCAUUUUAUCUUCCUCGGACAAGAGCAAGGUGGUUGAAGACAACAACUUAGGUCUCAAAUCUCAGAAUGCAGCAGCUUCAGUCUCAUAACUUGGACAAGGGAAGGGUCGAACGCAGUAGAUUUGAUAGAACAAGGGCAGAUCAAGUUUAUUCCAUUUUCAACUGAUUCAUCUGCAAGCCCAUUCAUGGAUAAUGCUACUAAAAAUGUUGAUGAGGCAAAUCAAAACAAAGAAAAAGAUGUCAUUGAGGCAAAUGAAGAGGAGGAAAAUCCAUUUGUUUCAAAGAAAAGGAAGCGAACAUCUAAGGUAUGGGUUGAGUUUAAAGAAGUUACUCUUCUCGAUGGAACAGUGAAAGUAGAGUGCAUUCACUGCAAACACCAACUGGGAGUUAACAAGAUUGGUGCCACAACACACUUUCUAAGACAUUUAAAGAUUUUUCCAAAAAGGAAAAGUGAAUUUGAAAGGUCAACAACAACUUAGUAUCACUACAACACUAGCUGAGACAGAAAGUGUGACUUCUAUUCAUAAUUUUAAAUAUGACCAUGCUAAGAUAAGAAAAGUCCUUGCCCAUAUGAUUCUUGUUCAUGAGUUGCCAUUUCUUUUUACAAAGUAUGAGCUUUUCAAUUUGUUAAUGAGAACUGCAACUUCAUAUUAUCAAAAGAUUAGUCGUGCAACUGUAAGAAAGGAUUGUUUCUCCACUUAUGAUAUUGAGAAACAAAAAAGUGAAGGAUUUGCUAAAGCAUGUUGACAAACUUAGUGUAACCAUAGAUUUAUGCAAGUCAGGUCAGCAGGUUUCAUACAUGGUUGUUACUGCACACUUUUUGGACUCCAACUGGAAUUUGCAAAAGCAUACUUUGAACUUUUGUGAUGUUCCACCACCUCAUACAGGAGUUGUUAUAUGUGAUGUGCUGCAAAAAUACUUAGUUGAAUGGGGAAUUGAAGAUAAGGUAUGGACUGUUUCUGUUGAUAAUGCUGCGUAUAAUGAUGCUGCUAUUAGAAUGUUGAAGGAUAAUCUUACUUAAAAGAAUAGUCUUGAAAUUAAUGGUAAGUUAUUUCAUGUGAGGUGUUGUGCACAUAUCUUAAAUUUAUUGGUGCAAGAUGGGUUAUCUAAGAUUGAAGAUAUAGUUUUCAAUGUGCGUGAAAGUGUGAAGCAUCUUGCAAAAGCUGAGUCUCGUUGGUUGAUUUUUAACGAAAUUGCAAAGUAAUUGAAAUUGCCUUCAAAGAAGCUUAUUUUGGAUUGUGGCACAAGGUGGAAUGCAACAUAUUUCAUGCUAUCUGUUGCAUUGGAGUUUAAGGAUGUCUUCCCUUGAUAUCAGCAAAGAGAUCCAACUUACACUUUCUUACCUAGUGAGGAAAAUUGGGAAAAAGUGAAGGAAGUUUGCUCUUUUCUUAAAGAAUUCAAUGAAGUUACUAGAGUAAUUUCAGGUGCUAAAUAUCCAACUUCAAACUUAUUCCUUGCUGAACUUUAUAAUAUAAAGAAAUUGUUAAAUGAAACACAUGAGAAUGCAGGCUACAUGCAAGCCAUGGUUAGCAAGAUGAAAAAGAAAUUUGAUAAGUAUUGGGGUGAUUGUAAUUUGUUGAUCUCUAUAGUAGCUAUAUUGGACCCAAGGAACAAGAUGAAAUUGGUUGAGUGGUGUUUUCCAGAGAUUUAUUCUACAUCUGAUGCUAUUAAGCAUAUGACUAUUGUUCAAGAGACUUUGUGCAUGCUUUAUAAUGAGUAUGUUGAAGCUUAUAGAGUAAAAAAUUUUGACAUAGAAAUUAGUGCUGCUGAAAACCAAAGGGAAGGAUCUAGUUGUAAUAUUAGUGGGAAAGGAAAAGUUAGAGGGAAAGCACAAUUUUAUAGUUAUAUCAGGAAUGUUGAUAAUAUAAUUGAGCACGUGAAAUCUGAAUUAGAUGUGUAUUUGGAAGAUGGUGUUCAUAUUUGUGAAGAUGAUGAAAAAUUUGAUGCAUUAGAAGGUGGAAAAUGAACAACAUGAAAUACAGGAUAUUAUCAAAAAUGGCACGUGACAUACUAUCAAUUCCUAUUACAAUUGUAGCUUCAGAAUCAGCGUUGAAUGCUGGAGGUAAAGUUAUUAAUCCACAUAGAGCAGCCUUGGGAGCAAAAACUAUUCAAUUUUUAACUUGUGGAUCUGAUUGGUUACGAGCUUUCUAUGGGAUACAAAGAAAAAGAAAGGUAAAUACAAUAAUAUAUUACACUUCAGUCUUCAAUAGGACAUGGUAGCAUACAAUUAACUUUUAUAAUUUAUUUGUUAUUGUGAAAGGACAAGGAGGAAAUUCAAGAGAUCAUACUACAUUAGUGGUUUGGAAUAUUUUUGCUUUCAAUUUUCAGGUUGCAUGGAUGCAAAAAUCACAUCAAAUUCAAGCUUUAGGCAAGACCUAUCCAAUCAUUUUAGUGAUUUAAUCCUAGGAUUUGUUAUUUUAUUGAACUUUUUUAAUUUUAUUUAAAUUAUGGUGGUGUUGUAAUUUGUGUUAUUUUCAAAUUAGUUGUAAUGUGUUAUAUCUUUUUUUUUUCUUGUUAAUUUGUAUUAUUAAAGGUUAUAGACUCAUUAGUAAUUUAUUUUGAAAGUAA
Molecule: long non-coding RNA, 2659 nt
Organism: Hevea brasiliensis (rubber tree)
Lineage: Eukaryota; Viridiplantae; Streptophyta; Magnoliopsida; Malpighiales; Euphorbiaceae
Exons: 3
Source: RefSeq, a predicted model, not a curated record